GAUAAACGCUGGCGGCGCACAUAAGACAUGCAAGUCGAACGGACUUAACCAUUAGUUUACUAUUGGAGCGGUUAGUGGCGGACUGGUGAGUAACACGUAAGCAACCUGCCUAUCAGAGGGGGAACAACAGUUAGAAAUGACUGCUAAUACCGCAUAUGCCUUUAGCAACACAUGUUGCAAAAGGGAAAGGAGCAAUCCACUGAUAGAUGGGCUUGCGUCUGAUUAGCUAGUUGGUGGGGUAACGGCCUACCAAGGCGACGAUCAGUAGCCGGACUGAGAGGUUGAACGGCCACAUUGGGACUGGGAUACGGCCCAG
RNAcentral lists this ribosomal RNA (316 nucleotides) under uncultured bacterium. Its description in RNAcentral is "bacterial SSU rRNA". It matches the Rfam family "Bacterial small subunit ribosomal RNA", at positions 28 to 334 of the family's 1533-position model. The record is from RNAcentral.